GUUUCCCUUAUUUUAUGCCACUUCAAACUAUCUUAACUACUUAUGUUAAUUCAUUUAUGGAUUUAUUUAGAAUUUAGAUGCAUAUGCUGUUUGUGCCUUCUACUAGGGUGAAUGUGUGCUAGUCAUUGAUAUCAAAAGUAGGUUGUUUUAUUCACUUCCAACUUCUGUGAGAAUUUCAACUGAAAGUGUAGUACUAGGUUGCUAUUGCAAUUCUUAUUUGUGCUCCGUAAUGAGUAACUUACAGUACAUCCAUUGGCAUAACUGAAAGAGGCCAAGAAUCAACUAAUGAUUCUUUAACAUUUUUGAAAAAUCCAAGAGGAUGACUAAUUAGUUGCAAUGAACAUUGGAGUCCUUGUGCAACCAACACCUGAAAUCUUGUACGUGUCAGGUAUUUUGAUCACUUAAGUCAUGCCCUUAG
This 418-nucleotide unclassified non-coding RNA is filed under the name Hevea brasiliensis (rubber tree). Lineage: Eukaryota; Viridiplantae; Streptophyta; Magnoliopsida; Malpighiales; Euphorbiaceae. The record is from RNAcentral.